CCUACGGGGGGCAGCAGUGAGGAAUAUUGGUCAAUGGACGAGAGUCUGAACCAGCCAAGUAGCGUGAAGGAUGACUGCCCUAUGGGUUGUAAACUUCUUUUAUAUGGGAAUAAAACGUUCCACGUGUGGGAUUUUGUAUGUACCAUAUGAAUAAGGAUCGGCUAACUCCGUGCCAGCAGCCGCGGUAAUACGGAGGAUCCGAGCGUUAUCCGGAUUUAUUGGGUUUAAAGGGAGCGUAGGUGGAUUGUUAAGUCAGUUGUGAAAGUUUGCGGCUCAACCGUAAAAUUGCAGUUGAAACUGGCAGUCUUGAGUACAGUAGAGGUGGACGGAAUUCGUGGUGUAGCGGUGAAAUGCUUAGAUAUCACGAAGAACUCCGAUUGCGAAGGCAGUUCACUGGACUGCAACUGACACUGAGGCUCGAAAGUGUGGGUAUCAAACAGGAUUAGAUACCCUUGUAGUC
Molecule: ribosomal RNA, 460 nt
Filed under: uncultured bacterium
Lineage: Bacteria
Description: partial 16S ribosomal RNA
Rfam family: Bacterial small subunit ribosomal RNA
Source: RNAcentral